UGUUACCAAUAUAGAAGAAGAGCCACUCCUUGAGGACAACAGAAGAGUCCAUUUAAAGGUCUUUGGGAAGCCCUGUUUUUCAGUUAAACCCAUCGCUGAUUCGUUUUGAUUGUACGGCAGAAAAUUCAGACUGUGAAGCCCACCUGGGCUGACACACCCAGCGCUUUUUUUUACACUUGUCAAAAAGGACAGCGUGUUGUGAUCAUCUGCAGAAACCUGAGAUCAUUGAGGCUCUUUAGAAACCACGCACACCUUUAUUAUUUGAAGGAUAAGCUGAUCCUAAUAUAUUUCUCAUUUCCUACCUAAGAGGUCUGACCGACUGAGUGUUGCAGCUAUUAAUGGUUUAAAACCACCGUCCCCUCUUUAAAAGUAGAAGGAAGAUACAAAUUUAUCUUGGAGCCUUUUUAAGUUUGCUGAAUCACAGUUGCGUCUCUCAGCUGACUUCGUUUUUAAUCUGGCACCGUACAAAGCUAGAGCUUUUCUUGACCUAGUAAGUAUAAAGACAGGCAGCGUUGUAACCCUUCAAAUGUUGUUUUAAACAUCCAAGUUGAAUAAGCCAGAAUUGGCACCCUGACUUAAUGGCAAUGUCACUCAUUAAGAAAUCCCCAUAUUUAUAACAGUUCGUGUUACUAUAAAGAGGCCUUAUUCGAAAUUUCAAACGGUUCUUUCAAUGACUGAAGAUGGUGUUUGCUAAGUUGAUCCAGUUUUGUUCAGCUGUUGACCGAAGAAUCUUUUUUGUGUUUUUCCUACUUCAGACAGGCAAAACUUUCUCCUUCAGACCAGAUGUUGGAUUCCGGUUUGCUCUUGAGGCUGUAGGUAUUGAGUUUGUUGGUUUUCUGGGUGGAAUAGCUGUUCCUUGCGGACAGUUUUGCAGUGAGAAUAUUCAGGAUAUGAGUUCCACUUGUUUAGGGGGAUUUUGUAUACGUGAGGCAUUUUACACCAACCUUUUGAAAUUGUUAGCGAGUGUAACUUGGCAUCCAUCUUCGUUCAGGUAUCUCCAUUCUGGAAGCAUCAUGAAGAUACUUUUGCAAACCUGGUGAAGUUUUUUUUAUUUUCCCUUGGAGUCUUUAGAACCUGAAGUGAUGCACCCAGCAGCUUUAGCCACUAGUUCAAUGCUUCUCAACCUCAGGAAGUUUUAAGAUGUGUGGACUUCAAUUCCCAGAAUACCCUCAGAAUUCCCAAAGCUGGCUUGGGGCAUUGUGGGAAUUGAAGUCCACACAUCUUAAAACUUCCUGAGGUUGAGAAACAUUUCUGUGAUACCUGCAAGUUGGUUUUUCUUGCAAAUUCUGCACAGGGGAUAGUGCAGAGAAAAGGAACUCUCAAGAUUUUGGUAAGCAGGAGAUUGUUAAGCAAAUGGAUUCUAAAGCUGCUUCUUUACAAAAAAAA
This is a non-coding RNA of Pseudonaja textilis, 1386 nucleotides long. The record is from RefSeq and is a predicted model, not a curated record. Lineage: Eukaryota; Metazoa; Chordata; Lepidosauria; Squamata; Elapidae.